RNAcentral lists this ribosomal RNA (433 nucleotides) under uncultured bacterium. Its description in RNAcentral is "partial 16S ribosomal RNA". It matches the Rfam family "Bacterial small subunit ribosomal RNA", at positions 29 to 507 of the family's 1533-position model. The record is from RNAcentral.
AACGAACGCUGGCGGCAUGCCUAACACAUGCAAGUCGAACGAGACUUUCGGGUCUAGUGGCGCACGGGUGCGUAACGCGUGGGAACCUGCCCUUAGGUUCGGAAUAACUCACCGAAAGGGGUGCUAAUACCGGAUAAUGUCUUCGGACCAAAGAUUUAUCGCCUUUGGAUGGGCCCGCGUUGGAUUAGCUAGUUGGUAGGGUAAAGGCCUACCAAGGCGACGAUCCAUAGCUGGUCUGAGAGGAUGAUCAGCCACACUGGGACUGAGACACGGCCCAGACUCCUACGGGAGGCAGCAGUGGGGAAUAUUGGGCAAUGGGCGAAAGCCUGAUCCAGCAAUGCCGCGUGAAUGAUGAAGGCCUUAGGGUUGUAAAGCUCUUUUACCCGGGAUGAUAAUGACAGUACCGGGAGAAUAAGCUCCGGCUAACUCCGUG